This 1260-nucleotide long non-coding RNA is filed under the name Homo sapiens (human). RNAcentral's name for it is "HSALNT0076113". The record is from RNAcentral. Lineage: Eukaryota; Metazoa; Chordata; Mammalia; Primates; Hominidae.
CAGAGAAUUGGAGUCUACACAUCUGGAAAUAACGCUCACAGACCACACUGCAGGACUGCUCCAUCAGAGACUACCAUGGCCACUAGCAUGGGUCCCAGUCUCCACGUACAGCUUGUACUGCAGAGCCUGGGCACUGGACAUUGCUGCUUCUGUGAGCUCGCCUGAAGGUGGCCAGGGACACAACUCAUUGGAUGUGGAGCUCUGCCAUCGUCUUAUAUUUAACCCUGGUUUCAGAGCUCUCUGUCUUACAAGAGAAAUGGGAAAAUAAAUUAUGCGGCUGCACCUUGCCAGGUACAAUGGUAAGGAAAACUAAAGGGAGAUCUAGAAACCAGCCUGACAUAUUAAAGAGGGCUUCUGCAGAGGUGAGCUUAGUCUGAAUUAUGGAAGAACUUUCCAGGCAGAUACAAAUGCAAAGGCCCUGCAGUGUGAGGAGCUAACCACACACAAGGAUGGAGAGCAGUUCAUAGUGACUGGAGCCCAGGGUGCAGCUAAGGAGCUGGAGAGGGGGAAAGGCCAUACCAGGGAGAGCCUCAUACCAAAGAGUUUGGACCAUUAAAGGAUUCUAGGAAGUUCAAGCUGGAGACAGCAAGGAAGAUGUAUUGGAAGUGGGUGAGAGAGGGUAUGGAAGAUGGUUAAGACACUCUUGGAGUAAUCAAAUGAAAAAUAAUGAAGGUAGAAACUAAAGCAGGGAUAAAAAGGAUGGCACUGACUCUAGAUAUGUUGAGUGAAAUAGAUGGCAUUUGGGGACAAAUAGAUUACAGUACUAGGGAGAGGGAUUUGAGACUAGGAUAAUUCCCAGUCUCUUAGAUGGUGAGGUGAUUGGUGUUGCCACUGAGUACAGAAAGGAAGGAAGUAGAGGAAUGGAAUCAGAUUUAGACAGUUAGGGAUAUUUUGAAGUUGUGAUGUCUAAGGAAGCCCAGUGAAGGUGUACAGUACGUGAUAGGAAAUACGAAGCUGAAAAUCAACCAGAGGUUUGGAAGUAGCCAGGAACCCUAAUUAGAAGAACUACAUACGGACUCUGUCCUGAUGGCUUAAAACCCUGCAGUCUCAACUAAGUGGGUUCUUUCCAUCCCUCCUGUGUGCCAAGCAAUCUUACAUUGUGCAUACAAAGAUACCUUGAAAAUAUCUUUUUGAUCAAAUUUUCUUGAUGGUAGACCCCCCACCAUACCCAAGCAGAGGAUCAUUGUCUUCAACAUAUUAUGGAACAAGCCCAUGCUCAUAGAUCUGGUGCAGCCAUCUCUUGCCCUUCACUUUGUCCCA